AUUGAACGCUGGCGGCAUGCCUUACACAUGCAAGUCGAACGGUAGCAUGGAGAGCUUGCUCUCUGAUGGCGAGUGGCGAACGGGUGAGUAAAGCAUCGGAACGUACCGUGUAGUGGGGGAUAACGUAGCGAAAGUUACGCUAAUACCGCAUACGCACUGAGGUGGAAAUCAGGGGAUCGUAAGACCUUGCGCCAUACGAGCGGCCGGUGUCAGAUUAGCUAGUUGGUAGGGUAAAGGCCUACCAAGGCGACGAUCUGUAGCGGGUCUGAGAGGAUGAUCCGCCACACUGGGACUGAGACACGGCCCAGACUCCUACGGGAGGCAGCAGUGGGGAAUUUUGGACAAUGGGGGCAACCCUGAUCCAGCCAUGCCGCGUGAGUGAAGAAGGCCUUCGGGUUGUAAAGCUCUUUCGGCCGGGAAGAAAUCGCACAGGCUAAUACCCUGUGUGGAUGACGGUACCGGCAUAAGAAGCACCGGCUAACUACGUGCCAGCCGCCGCAGUAA
This 504-nucleotide ribosomal RNA is filed under the name uncultured bacterium. Its description in RNAcentral is "partial 16S ribosomal RNA". It matches the Rfam family "Bacterial small subunit ribosomal RNA", at positions 30 to 523 of the family's 1533-position model. The record is from RNAcentral.